CCAACGCUGGCAGGGUCGCACCAUUUCAGCAACUUCCGGUGCAGGGAUGUCCUGGGGCACCCUCAGUGGGUGCUCACUGCUGCUCACUGCAUCACCAGGAACACCGUGAUCAAUUAGCCAGCACCACAGGUCUCUGAAGUCAGACUAUCAUGAUUACUGUGUUGACUGUGCUGUCCAUUGCAAUAACCAUGCCCACAUUUUGGUGAAAUUAGCAUCACUUGGCCCGAACCAUCUUGGUAUCCAAGUAUCCUCACUGAAUUGAGAUUUCCUGCUUCAGUGUCAGCCAUUUCCACAUAAUUUCUGACCUACACAGAUGAGGGAUCAUACAGCUCUUCAAGGACGCUGAUACUCCCCUCACAAAUUCAUUUCUCCUGUUGUAGUGAAAAGUGCGCCCUCUGGAGCCUCCCAGGGUUGGUGUGCAGGUCAUAAUGAUGAAUGUAUGAUCAAGUUCCCAUUACCCAAAGCCUUUAAAUCCCUCGUGCCCUGUACACCAGGGCAGGUCUAGCACUUCUUCAUUUAGUGUAUGCCGUCCAUUCAUGCAACCACCUCAGGACUCCUGGGUUCUCUGCCUGGUUGAGCUCCUGCAUGCUGCCUCCUUGGGGAGGAGAGGGAGAGGACCCAUGGGUCAAUGGAAUCUGUGCAGUUGUGACACAUUAGGUGCUUAAUAAACAGAAGCUGUGAUGUUAA
Long non-coding RNA from Mandrillus leucophaeus (drill), 687 nucleotides. RefSeq lists it as uncharacterized. Lineage: Eukaryota; Metazoa; Chordata; Mammalia; Primates; Cercopithecidae. The transcript is spliced from 2 exons. The record is from RefSeq and is a predicted model, not a curated record.